Molecule: ribosomal RNA, 251 nt
Filed under: uncultured prokaryote
Description: partial 16S ribosomal RNA
Rfam family: Bacterial small subunit ribosomal RNA
Source: RNAcentral
ACGGAGGUUGCAAGCGUUGUCCGGAAUGACUGGGCGUAAAGGGAGCGCAGGCGGUUUGGUUAGUCUAAAGUGAAAUCCCCGGGCUUAACCUGGGAAUGGCGCAUGUGACUGGCGGGCUGGAGUACGGUAGAGGGGGGUGGAAUUCCACGUGUAGCAGUGAAAUGCGUAGAGAUGUGGAGGAACACCGAUGGCGAAGGCAGCCCCCUGGGCCGAUACUGACGCUCAUGCACGAAAGCGUGGGGAGCAAACAG